CAUCUAAACAUAGGACUAUACAGCCUCACUACACAAGGGCCCGAGUCAAAGCUUCUCUGAUAGAAGAGAGAUCAGUUUCAGAGAGUGGUGCAAAGUGAAGAUAGGGAAACAAGAGUGUAAAUGCAUCCAAGAAGUUUAGCUUUGAAGAGGAAGAGAGAGCAGGGUAUGUAACUAAAGAGGAAUAAAGGAUCCAGGUAGGUUUUGUGUUUGCUUUUGAAUGAUGUGACAGUUGUGCAUGUUUAGAUGACAAGAAGGAG
This 257-nucleotide long non-coding RNA is filed under the name Zalophus californianus (California sea lion). Its description in RNAcentral is "lncRNA (ENSZCAG00015002841.1)". Lineage: Eukaryota; Metazoa; Chordata; Mammalia; Carnivora; Otariidae. The record is from RNAcentral.